This 167-nucleotide ribosomal RNA is filed under the name uncultured bacterium. RNAcentral describes it as "partial 16S ribosomal RNA". It matches the Rfam family "Bacterial small subunit ribosomal RNA", at positions 352 to 511 of the family's 1533-position model. The record is from RNAcentral.
CAGUAGGGAAUCUUCCACAAUGGGCGAAAGCCUGAUGGAGCAACGCCGCGUGUGUGAUGAAGGCUUUCGGGUCGUAAAGCACUGUUGUAUGGGAAGAACAGCUAGAAUAGGAAAUGAUUUUAGUUUGACGGUACCAUACCAGAAAGGGACGGCUAAAUACGUGCCAG